CCGAGUUCAUUCCCUUGACGUAAGCAGUCUCUUCACACAAGAAUAGAGAAUACUAUUAAUCCUGAGGUCAAAUCACAGCUAGGGGAGACUUUGGCCUCCAAAGCCAGCAUUUCCCUACUGUCUUGAUCCCAUAGACACAAAAUCACAAAUCUAAAAAACAAAACAACCGUGUGCCUGGCUUGGUUUAAAUUCUCUCUCAAGCAGGCCUCUUAACUGUGAGAAAGUUCAAAUUCUCAACAUGUAUUAACAAAAGGUGUUCACAACAUAAUGCCUGGUUGUGCCCAAUAAUGGCUUUGCUCUGUGAAUUCAUUGUUUCUUCGUGACAAAGGCUGAGCUCUGGAACUUCUGGGUAUGGCUUGGCAGGGCAUUUUUACUUGGCGUGGCUCUCUUAAGUGGGUAGAAAAGGCUUGGUUGGGCACCUGGUA
RNAcentral lists this long non-coding RNA (425 nucleotides) under Bos taurus (domestic cattle). Its description in RNAcentral is "long non-coding RNA NONBTAT010729". The record is from RNAcentral. Lineage: Eukaryota; Metazoa; Chordata; Mammalia; Artiodactyla; Bovidae.